UGCUGCUCUCCUGCAGCCAUUUUGUUCCAUUAAUGUAAAUUUUGCUGUCUGCUGGUUCUCAGCCAGCAGCACAUGAGUUCAGUCUCCAUAUGAGACAAACUCACAAUUUCUUCAUGUAACUACCAAGUAAAGCCUGCCUUUCAGGGAUCAUAUCGUGAACUGAAAUGUGAGUAAACUUUUUGUUACUUUACUCAGAAAGACAUUUGUGUCUUUAUUCUUUUAAGAGGGAUCAAAGGGGACACCAGGAAAUAAUUUAACUAAGAGAUUCAAACGAAUCUGCAAACUAGCUUCCAGCUAUAUUAAGGGGAAUUUGCUCUGUUACAUCACUCACUAGCAUGUGUUAAGGAUAAUAUUUAUUCAAUAUAUCCUUUUCUACUAUCCUUCACAUUCCCACAUGUCUCACCCCUGGUUCCAAUACAGAGAGAGAAUUACCUGGACUUCUUAUUCUUGUGGUUCAGGGUGCAGUGCUCAGUUCUGUUGAAAUGACAAAAAACAUUUCUUUUUCCUCGGUUAAUGUAUUCCACAGCCAGAGCUACUGAGCUUGGUGGGGACAAUUUAGCACCUGUUAAGUAUUCAGUGUCCUCAGGUCAGGUUACAUUAUUUUUGCCAGCUUUAUUGGGGGGAGGCGAGCUACAGAGUAGUGUGUAUUGGAGUUGUUUUUUAGGAGUCUGGUUUUCUGCUUUUUCCAGAUAAAGCCAUUUUUCUUCCACACCAUCGCCUCCAUCUCACUAAAUUGGCAGGGGGUGUGCCAUUGUGUGGUUUGCCUCAGGUGCCAAAAUGUCUUCAGCCAGCCCUGGAUGCUGUUAUGGGGCUCUUUGGUUGCAAGGAUAACAGAAUGCCAAGAAGAAGAAAGAGUUGGGAUGAAGAAGAAAAAACCCACGGGAGAUCAUUUAUUCUCUCUGUUACUUUAAGAUGAACUUUUACCACCAAUCUUGAUGAACGCAGCAGAAAUCUGCUUGACUUUCAGUCCUCUGGUAUUCUAGACCUGGAGUUAGGAAGGUUGCAUUUGGCUGCUUUGUUAUGUUGUCUCUGCCAAGAAAGCACAAUGCGCCUUGCAAAGCUGGGUGAUAGCUCCUGAUGCACAGCACUCCUGUCCUGAUUUGUUUAGAAACAGGAACAGCCAAGCCCCAGGGGCCUGCAAAGAGGAGUUAAGUGCAGAUGAGCUAAGGAGCUCCAGCAGGGUACAAUGACAUAUUUAAGGUUCUGAUACUAUUCCAGUUCUUGC
Podarcis lilfordi (Lilford's wall lizard) is the source of this 1225-nucleotide non-coding RNA. Lineage: Eukaryota; Metazoa; Chordata; Lepidosauria; Squamata; Lacertidae. The record is from the annotation of a GenBank genome assembly.